UUCUUCCCUACGGCCCAACAGAAAAAGAAGGAAGAACAUCUCGAUGUUCUUCUUUCCCUGCACCGAAGAAGAACCUGUUCGACGAGAGCCCAUUGUCAGUGCGGUGGAACGAACAAAAAAAAUCUUGGGGCGAGCCUCAUUCUCCGAGAGACGACUUGGAGCUUCAAAAUCCUGGUUUGAUUGCAAUCGUUGCAGCACAUAGCGAUUUUCUAGAGAGCAACUACAGCUCCCUCUAGAGAGCAACUACAGCUCCCUCUCAACCUUUUGCCUAUCAGUAGCACUAACGGCACAUGAUAUUCAGGGUCAAAUGUUGAAGAACACUAUCCUUCGCUUAUUACAGUCGUUGGUAGUGGCUGCAACACUUUUUGUAUGCACUCAUCCUGGUUCGAACGGUGCUUCUCAUUUGUUGUGAAAUAUGCAGGAGGACCCAAACAUGCGUAGGUGUUCAAGAGCUGGUUUUCUAUCGUAUUCCACUUCAAACCGGUUCCUGGUUUUCAACUUGUAGCUUGUUGUCCUGUCGAUUAAGUAGCAGGAGGUGGCUAUAGUUUCUGGCAAAAAAUCUUCUCCAACAUUCAUGUGAAAUAGAAGUGCCUUAGCGAUGUUCAAUGCGUGUCGAUUCCCCCCCACCCCCCCGGGUUAUCAAAUUUGAAAGCCUUUAUAUGGUUACUGAACUUCAAUCAUGUAGAAUUGCACGAUGUAGUCACAGACUUCAGUUUUCUUGUUAAGAAAGUACACCCAAGAUGCAAGAUUUGUCAUCUAUUAACAGAAAAAAAUAUUGAAAUUUGAAGUUUGAUAGUUUGGGAGAUGGUCCCUAUACAUCAGCGUGUAUUAGAUCAGACCACUCUUGCCUUCUUAUUUCAGACUUGGGAAAUGGUUUUCUUGACAUCUUGGCAUAGCUGCAUGCUCACAAACUUGGAAAUUCGAAGAAAAACUCAAAACAUAGCUUGGAACAAUCUUUCUGAUGGAUACCCGAUCCUACAAUACCAUAGGUAGGUUGACUCCUUAUUCUUAGCCACACGAAAAGCAGUAGCAGUCUUCAAAUUGAUGAAGUAAAGUCCAUCUUGUUUGAUGCCUUCACCAGUCUUUCUCUUGGACACUGAAUCCUCCAGAAUUAACUUCUUGGAAAAUAUAAUGUUGCAAUCAAACUCUUUAGUUAGCUUGCUAACGAAAAGUAGACUGAUAGUAAAAUUCUGAACAUGAAGUUCAGUUGCCAUCUUUAAAACUAUUAUCAAACACAGUUUUCCAACCCUUCUGGCAGGCGUCACGGAACCAUCUAGCAUUUGUAUACUAGUUUUUGUGACUCAUGUCAUGUUUAACCGUUUAGUUGUGUCACUUGUAAUGUGCUCAAUAGCUCCACUGUCAACUAUCCAUGCGGUGGGACUUGGCAAGGUAGUAAGGGCACGCCACUUACCAAUUAUUUCAGAUGGAUGAGCAGACAUAGAUGCUGGUGUGGUGACAACUAAGUUUGAUUGAGCAACCUGCUUCA
Molecule: long non-coding RNA, 1486 nt
Organism: Nymphaea colorata (pocket water lily)
Lineage: Eukaryota; Viridiplantae; Streptophyta; Magnoliopsida; Nymphaeales; Nymphaeaceae
Exons: 5
Source: RefSeq, a predicted model, not a curated record